This 809-nucleotide ribosomal RNA is filed under the name uncultured archaeon. Its description in RNAcentral is "bacterial SSU rRNA". It matches the Rfam family "Archaeal small subunit ribosomal RNA", at positions 128 to 922 of the family's 1478-position model. The record is from RNAcentral.
AACCCCGAGAAAAUUGGGGCUAAUCCGCGAUAGAUGUGAUGUCCUGGAAUGGUAUUACGUCUAAAGGUAUUUCAUACAUGUUUGAUAUACGCCUAAGGAUGGGACUGCGGCUGAUCAGGCAGUUGGUGAGGUAAUGGCUCACCAAACCAUUGACCAGUACGGGCCAUGAGAGUGGUAGCCCGGAGAUGGACACUGAGACAAGGGUCCAGGCCCUACGGGGCGCAGCAGGCGCGAAACCUCCUCAAUGCACUAACGUGCGAAGGGGUUACCUCGAGUGCUAUCUGAUGAAGGUGGCUUUUCCAUGGUCUAAAAAGCCUAGGGAAUAAGAGGGGGGCAAGACUGGUGUCAGCCGCCGCGGUAACACCAGCCCCUCGAGUGGUGGGGAUGAUUAUUUGGCCUAAAGCGUCCGUAGCCUGCCGGAUAAGUUCCCCGUUAAAUCCAACGUCUCAAGCGUUGGACUGCGGGAAAUACUGUCUGGCUAGAGAGUGGGAGAGGUCAGCGGUAUUCUGGGGGUAGGGGCGAAAUCCUUUGAUCCCCGGAGGACCACCAGUGGCGAAGGCUGCUGACUAGAACACGUCUGACGGUCAGGGACGAAAGCUGGGGUAGCGAACCGGAUUAGAUACCCGGGUAGUCCCAGCCGUAAACGAUGCAUGCUAGGUGUUGGGUUGGCCACGAGCCACCCCAGUGCCGCAGGGAAGCCGUUAAGCAUGCCGCCUGGGAAGUACGGUCGCAAGAUUGAAACUUAAAGGAAUUGGCGGGGGAGCACCACCAGGCGUGAAGCCUGCGGUUUAAUUGGAGUCAACGCCGGG